Molecule: long non-coding RNA, 1130 nt
Filed under: Zonotrichia albicollis (white-throated sparrow)
Lineage: Eukaryota; Metazoa; Chordata; Aves; Passeriformes; Passerellidae
Description: lncRNA (ENSZALG00000004159.1)
Source: RNAcentral
UUGGGGGGCUGAAAAGGUCAUGGGGGACAAUGCUGAGUUGCUUCCCCCAGACCUGUGACUGGGGUCUGGUGUCUCACACAGGGUGAAAAUGUCCUUCUCCAUCAGGGCCGUGUCCCCAAACACCCCACGGAGCCCUGUGGAGUCGGUGCUGUGCUCAGGGACCUGUUAUCAGCCAGCUCUCACAGAGCUCUGACGUGGGAAUCGAUAAAAACUCUCCUUCAGUGCUUUUCAGUCUCUGGCAGCACAAGAGCAAAGGCAGCCAAAGCCCAGCAGCUCCGUCCUUGGUGCCCUGCUCCUCCUCCUCCUCCUCCUCCUCCUCCUCUCCUCUCCGUGGGAUUUGUCCCAGGGGUGUGAUUUAUAGGGCAGGUGUGAUUUAUGGAGCCUUGCAGAGCUCCCUGCCCCUUGCCCCUAGUCCCUUAUUCCCGAGGGUUUGGGUGUUUCUGGGAUCAGGCAAUGGGAACAUUGCCUCUGGGGUUCCUGCUGCCUCUCCCUCCUUCUGCCUGGGCCUGGGGCAGUGAAUCCCAUCCUGAGGGAGCUCGAGGCCUCGUGGAUCCUUCUCAGGAUGCCACAGGAAAGGGAGCUGGGGGAUUUUGGGGGAUAAUUGGCCCACAAGUGUGUCCCACCUGCUCUCCCCAUCUGGGUGCUCUCAUUCCCCUCCCUGAGGAACUGGGGCUGGGGGUCCUCAGUGGGGCCCUCCCUGAUCCUUGUUUCACAGGGAAUGUGGGGCUGCACCAGAGGCACCACAGCACCCUUGGCUGCAGGUACCCGGUGUGUCUUCCAGCAGCUCCCAAAUCGCCUCCAUUCCAUGGGAUUUGGGGGAUUCUCAACACAAUUCCCAUUCCCAGCCAGGUGAGCUGCUGCUGUCAUACUCCUGAUCAUGGGGAUGAAGAACAAACCCACCUCAGGGCAUUUUUGGGGCUGUGGGGUGGGGACAGGACUCUGGAACCACGUGGGUUGGUGGUGGGGCCAGCAUGGAGAAUCCCAGUGCCAUCCAGUGGGGAUGGGUGGCCCAGGCUGGAGCUUCUGGGGGUUCCCACAGUAGGAAAAUCCAUCCCCAUCCCCACACCCCUGAGCACCACUGGCCAGCCCUAUCCCCAGGGCUGCAUUUCCUUCUCCACUCCACAAUUUGG